CAUUUAGUUAAAAUGGGGUCUAAAAAUGGCCCAUUGUGUGUGAGUGGAUGUGCCCUGUGAUGGACUGGCACCCCACCAGGGUGUACCCUGCUCUGGGCUUUUUAGGGAAAGUCUCACCAUGGAACUGUACUUGAGAAGGGGUUAUGAUGGAUGGAUGGGUGGAUGGAUAGAUAGAUAAUGUAUGUUAAUUUAGUUUCUUUUGGCUGAAAUGUACAACAUGGAUUGUUAAAUUAUUUUUUACAAUUAAUAUUUACAUUUAGGGAUGUAUGAUUAAAUGUCCAAACCAAAUACUCUGGGAUGUGCUUUUCAUACCACAAUGUUCAAUAAGGGAUUCAAACCCAGAACCACCAGGUAACAGGCCUGUGCAGGACCAGUGAACACAUCUGUGUUUGUACUCUGUCUGACAUGAAUUUCAUGGUGACUGACUCUAUUCUUACUUUAUUUUAGUUGCUGUCAGUGUUUAUCUGGCAAAAUACUCAGCUGUAGCUUGGCAAGAUCUACUUGCAACAUUUUCCACUUUAUUAAUGUUUCCAGUCAUCAUGGUUUCAUUCCCAGUUGGUCUCGGUGUGUUUCGGAUAAUACGCUCCCGAAGGAAGGGAGAAACAGUACGACUUAGAGACAUUCUUUUAAUCAUGGGUUAUUUCCUGUAUAAUCCCACGCUGUUUAACAUGAUGUUCCUUGCUGUUUAUUCCCAACUCUUUGCCUGGAUGAGCGGCACAUUUAAACUAGAAUAUUCAAUUCCAAUUGCAGUGGCUGUUUUGGGAAUCUGUGCCUGCAUCGUUAUCAAGGAUUAUUUAUUGUAUCGUGAAAAUAAGCGCUUGGAGGGAUUUUACUCUGCAUUACAGCCUCACAUCAGCCUUUCUCCUCAUCAUCCUGGGGCCUCCUGGCCGCGUCUCCCCAUAAUUGUCCUAUAAGCUGUCCUACUGUUAGCAUUCAUUGCUAAUUGUUAGCAUUCCAGUCAGACUCAGUAUAAAAUGGUGGGAAAGUACAGCUCUGGAUGAUAAACCACAUAACAUUACACAUCAUACCUUCCGGGGUCACAGAGCCGGGCUUCCUGAGUGAAUCCUGGCAAAGAUCUAGGGCUGCAUGAUGUCACAUUGUGAUUAAAUGGUGCAUGUGCAAUAAUCACCAGGGCUGUAGAUGAUAGCAGAUAAUAACAAAAUUAGCCGUGCAGCAGGAACAAAAACAGCUAAAUUAAUACAAGGGAGAUAGUCUGAAAAAGCAUAACCAAACACAGACAUAGUGAAUCAGCAAAGAGGAACAGUGGUCAAAAGUCAAAGCUCACAGACAGGGACAGACAGACAGGGACAGACAGACAGACAGACAGAC
Paramormyrops kingsleyae is the source of this 1329-nucleotide non-coding RNA. Lineage: Eukaryota; Metazoa; Chordata; Actinopteri; Osteoglossiformes; Mormyridae. The record is from RefSeq and is a predicted model, not a curated record.